Molecule: ribosomal RNA, 2907 nt
Filed under: Yersinia pseudotuberculosis
Lineage: Bacteria; Pseudomonadati; Pseudomonadota; Gammaproteobacteria; Enterobacterales; Yersiniaceae
Also listed under: 1 other name
Description: 23S ribosomal RNA
Rfam family: Bacterial large subunit ribosomal RNA
Source: RNAcentral
GGUUAAGCGACUAAGCGUACACGGUGGAUGCCUAGGCAGUCAGAGGCGAUGAAGGGCGUGCUAAUCUGCGAAAAGCGUCGGUAAGCUGAUAUGAAGCGUUAUAACCGACGAUACCCGAAUGGGGAAACCCAGUGCAAUACGUUGCACUAUCGUUAGAUGAAUACAUAGUCUAACGAGGCGAACCGGGGGAACUGAAACAUCUAAGUACCCCGAGGAAAAGAAAUCAACCGAGAUUCCCCCAGUAGCGGCGAGCGAACGGGGAGGAGCCCAGAGUCUGAAUCAGUUUGUGUGUUAGUGGAAGCGUCUGGAAAGUCGCACGGUACAGGGUGAUAGUCCCGUACACCAAAAUGCACAGGCUGUGAACUCGAUGAGUAGGGCGGGACACGUGACAUCCUGUCUGAAUAUGGGGGGACCAUCCUCCAAGGCUAAAUACUCCUGACUGACCGAUAGUGAACCAGUACCGUGAGGGAAAGGCGAAAAGAACCCCGGCGAGGGGAGUGAAAUAGAACCUGAAACCGUGUACGUACAAGCAGUGGGAGCACCUUCGUGGUGUGACUGCGUACCUUUUGUAUAAUGGGUCAGCGACUUAUAUUUUGUAGCAAGGUUAACCGAAUAGGGGAGCCGUAGGGAAACCGAGUCUUAACUGGGCGUCUAGUUGCAAGGUAUAGACCCGAAACCCGGUGAUCUAGCCAUGGGCAGGUUGAAGGUUGGGUAACACUAACUGGAGGACCGAACCGACUAAUGUUGAAAAAUUAGCGGAUGACUUGUGGCUGGGGGUGAAAGGCCAAUCAAACCGGGAGAUAGCUGGUUCUCCCCGAAAGCUAUUUAGGUAGCGCCUCGUGAACUCAUCUUCGGGGGUAGAGCACUGUUUCGGCUAGGGGGCCAUCCCGGCUUACCAAACCGAUGCAAACUCCGAAUACCGAAGAAUGUUAUCACGGGAGACACACGGCGGGUGCUAACGUCCGUCGUGAAGAGGGAAACAACCCAGACCGCCAGCUAAGGUCCCAAAGUCAUGGUUAAGUGGGAAACGAUGUGGGAAGGCACAGACAGCCAGGAUGUUGGCUUAGAAGCAGCCAUCAUUUAAAGAAAGCGUAAUAGCUCACUGGUCGAGUCGGCCUGCGCGGAAGAUGUAACGGGGCUAAACCAUGCACCGAAGCUGCGGCAGCGACACUUAGGUGUUGUUGGGUAGGGGAGCGUUCUGUAAGCCGUUGAAGGUGACCUGUGAGGGUUGCUGGAGGUAUCAGAAGUGCGAAUGCUGACAUAAGUAACGAUAAUGCGGGUGAAAAACCCGCACGCCGGAAGACCAAGGGUUCCUGUCCAACGUUAAUCGGGGCAGGGUGAGUCGACCCCUAAGGCGAGGCUGAAAAGCGUAGUCGAUGGGAAACAGGUUAAUAUUCCUGUACUUGGUGUUACUGCGAAGGGGGGACGGAGAAGGCUAGGCUGGCCGGGCGACGGUUGUCCCGGUUUAAGCGUGUAGGGGGAGUGACCAGGUAAAUCCGGUUGCUUAUCAACCCUGAGGCGUGAUGACGAUGCACUACGGUGCAGAAGCAGUUGAUGCCAUGCUUCCAGGAAAAGCCUCUAAGCAUCAGGUAACAUUAAAUCGUACCCCAAACCGACACAGGUGGUCAGGUAGAGAAUACUCAGGCGCUUGAGAGAACUCGGGUGAAGGAACUAGGCAAAAUGGUGCCGUAACUUCGGGAGAAGGCACGCUGGCGUUAGGUGAAAGGACUAGCUCCUGGAGCUGAAGCCAGUCGCAGAUACCAGCUGGCUGCAACUGUUUAAUAAAAACACAGCACUGUGCAAACACGAAAGUGGACGUAUACGGUGUGACGCCUGCCCGGUGCUGGAAGGUUAAUUGAUGGGGUCAGCCACAAGGCGAAGCUCUUGAUCGAAGCCCCAGUAAACGGCGGCCGUAACUAUAACGGUCCUAAGGUAGCGAAAUUCCUUGUCGGGUAAGUUCCGACCUGCACGAAUGGCGUAAUGAUGGCCAGGCUGUCUCCACCCGAGACUCAGUGAAAUUGAACUCGCUGUGAAGAUGCAGUGUACCCGCGGCAAGACGGAAAGACCCCGUGAACCUUUACUAUAGCUUGACACUGAACAUUGAGCCUUGAUGUGUAGGAUAGGUGGGAGGCCUUGAAGUGUGGACGCCAGUCUGCAUGGAGCCAACCUUGAAAUACCACCCUUUAAUGUUUGAUGUUCUAACUCGGCCCCAUAAUCUGGGGUGAGGACAGUGUCUGGUGGGUAGUUUGACUGGGGCGGUCUCCUCCCAAAGAGUAACGGAGGAGCACGAAGGUUAGCUAAUCACGGUCGGACAUCGUGAGGUUAGUGCAAAGGCAUAAGCUAGCUUGACUGCGAGAGUGACGGCUCGAGCAGGUACGAAAGUAGGUCUUAGUGAUCCGGUGGUUCUGAAUGGAAGGGCCAUCGCUCAACGGAUAAAAGGUACUCCGGGGAUAACAGGCUGAUACCGCCCAAGAGUUCAUAUCGACGGCGGUGUUUGGCACCUCGAUGUCGGCUCAUCACAUCCUGGGGCUGAAGUAGGUCCCAAGGGUAUGGCUGUUCGCCAUUUAAAGUGGUACGCGAGCUGGGUUUAGAACGUCGUGAGACAGUUCGGUCCCUAUCUGCCGUGGGCGUUGGAAGAUUGAGAGGGGCUGCUCCUAGUACGAGAGGACCGGAGUGGACGAAUCACUGGUGUUCGGGUUGUCAUGCCAAUGGCAUUGCCCGGUAGCUAAAUUCGGAAGAGAUAACCGCUGAAAGCAUCUAAGCGGGAAACUUGCCUCGAGAUGAGUCUUCCCUGGGGCUUAAAGCCCCCUGAAGGAACGUUAAAGACUAUGACGUUGAUAGGCUGGGUGUGUAAGUGCAGCGAUGUAUUGAGCUAACCAGUACUAAUGAUCCGUGAGGCUUAACCUU